This 307-nucleotide unclassified non-coding RNA is filed under the name plant metagenome. RNAcentral describes it as "partial contains 5.8S ribosomal RNA, internal transcribed spacer 2, and large subunit ribosomal RNA". The stretch from base 1 to 105 matches the Rfam family "5.8S ribosomal RNA", at positions 50 to 154 of the family's 154-position model. The record is from RNAcentral.
GAAAUGCGAUAAGUAAUGUGAUUUGCAGAAUUCAGUGAAUCAUCGAAUCUUUGAACGCACAUUGCGCCCGCCAGCACUCUGGCGGGCAUGCCUGUUCGAGCGUCAUUUCAACCCUCAGAACCCCUUGCGGGAUCUGGCGUUGGGGAUUGGCAUCCAGCCAGCCCCGAAAUCUAGUGGCGGUCCCUCCGCGACCUCCCCUGUGCAGUAGCGAUACCUCGCAGCGGGACAGCGGUCUGACCACGCCGUAAAACCCCCAACUUCUCAAGGUUGACCUCGAAUCAGGUAGGAAUACCCGCUGAACAUAAGC